UUGUGUAUUUAAGUAGAAGUUGCUUAGAGGGAGGAAGUAAUUAUUUCGAAACAUUUGGGUUAAGUAAUGAGAUUUUGGGAAAGUUAUGUGGUGCACUAUACAUAUAGAGAGAGAUGGAGAAAAAUCAGAUUUUCUCCUUCCAUUUGACCCGUAUGUCUUCUUCACCUUCUCUCAUUCUUCUUCUUCUUCCACCAUUAAUGAGUUUCAAGAUCUACUUUCUCUCUCCUCCAUUUGAGACCUUUAGGGUGGGAAUUAGAAGAUAUUCCAAGAGAGAAAGCUUAUCCUCUCUUCUUCCUCUUCAAUUAUAUGGAAGAAAAUAUGAGUUUGGAGUAUUUUAGAAUUUUGGGUGAUUUUCGAACUUAGGAUUUUGAGGAAGCCAUAGGAGGGUAGCUUGUUCUCCUUCUUCUCCUCUUCGGUUCUAUGAAAGAAAAUUUGGAUUUGGUGAACUAUGGUCCAGUGGAACUUGGGUGGGAUUUUACUUUUCUUGAGGAUAUGGAAAGGAAGUGGCGGACGACGUUCUACCACAGGCGUAUGCAGGAUUUUAGAAGCUUAUUUUGUUACCUCUUGUACCUAAGUCUCAUUUUGUGUAACUUUAUUAAGACAUGUACAUUUUGUAUAUUGUAUGGCCUAUAAAGGGAAUCAAGAACCAUGUUUGUAUUUGAUGUAAGUUUCAAAUGUCUUACUAAUAGCCAAUGAUGCAUGUAAUAGUUAUGUU
Long non-coding RNA from Cornus florida, 715 nucleotides. RefSeq lists it as uncharacterized. The record is from RefSeq and is a predicted model, not a curated record. NCBI's taxonomy places the organism in Eukaryota, Viridiplantae, Streptophyta, Magnoliopsida, Cornales, Cornaceae. The transcript is spliced from 2 exons.